AUAGAGGACGAACUUGAGCCCGACAUUGCCCAUGGAGAAGAGGAACAUGAGGCCGAUGUUGCCCAUGGAGAAUAUAACCUGCAUGAAUCGGAUGAAUCGAACCAUGAACUUGAAGACCAAGGCGGUGUUUUCCAGAGCAUGGAAGAGGAAGUGCAAGCAAUGGAUGAAGCUCUACAUAACCUUCAAGUUGACGAGGAAGACUAUGGUGUUUAUGCAGGCGAUAUAGAGACUCAAUUUGAGGAAGAAGAGCUUGACGAUUCAACAGAUGAAGCCAUGUAUGAUUCAACACCAGAAGAAGACAUUUAUGUGGAGCAAGAGCAACAAGGUAAUGAGCAAAUUCACGAUGAAGGAAAAUACAAGAACUUAAUAGAUUUGCAAAGGACCGGUAUUUAUGAAGAAUUGCUAGCAAGAAGUGUCAAUCGAAAAUUAAAGAAGACCACAACCAUAGAAGUUGCAGACAUGUUCCAUGUUUCGGUGCAGAAGGUCAGACGUGUUUGGAGGAGAGUGAAGGAGUGCCUUCGACAAGGCAUACCCGUUGAUGUAAGAUCAAGGAAGCCGAAAAACUAUGGGUGCAAAAGGAUUGUA
RNAcentral lists this ribosomal RNA (585 nucleotides) under Triticum aestivum (bread wheat). Its description in RNAcentral is "partial small subunit ribosomal RNA". Lineage: Eukaryota; Viridiplantae; Streptophyta; Magnoliopsida; Poales; Poaceae. The record is from RNAcentral.